GGAGAAUUUUAUCCACCUUAAUGAACUCUGAAUACAUUCCAUUUUCCAUAGUACUUAGAAUAUUAAAUAAGCAUAAUUUAGUAGAAAAUAUAUGAAUGGUCACACUGGUAUUUUUUGUGGCAAUAUCACAGAAUCCCAGAAUCUCAGAAAAUGCUAAGUUGGAAGGGACUCAUAAGGAUCAAGUCCAACUCUUAGCCCUGCACAGGACAUGCCCAAUAAUCACACCAUGUGCCUGACAGCAUUAUCCAAACCGUUCUUGAACUCUGUCAGGCUUGGUGCUGUGACCAUUUCCUGAGGUGCCUGUUCCAGUGCCCAACCAUCCUCUGGAUGAAGAACCUUUUAGUAAUAUCCAAACUAAACCUCUCCUGACAGAAUUUCAGGCCAUUUUCUCAAGUCCUGUCACUGGGCACCACAGAAGGCUGAUGUCAGUAGUGAACAUCUGUUCCAACACUAUUUGAAAAGAUGCCAUUCCACAAAAAAUCUUAAAAAAGCUUCCUGACACACAGCCUAACCUGAGGACCUGCACCCCAGAAAAUCCUGUUCUCAGAGAAAUUGCAAACUACUGCAGAGAGUGUGAAAGUCUGUGUCACCCAUGCUCACUGUGAGUGCCAACAAUGUCAGUAGACACUUCUGCUGAAUUAAGGGUAGUACAUAUGGCUCUGACUAACAGAGCUACCAUUUCAACUUUACCUUCAGAAAUACCAUGAUGCUGUUCAUUUUUUUAUUCCCAGUAAGAGACACAGCACAGAAAAGACCUCCUAUGGGAGCUAGGGACCUUCAACCAAGCUCUCUUGUGUCACAGUCAGCUCACUGUGACUCCAAGUCCGGUCUGGCCAGGAAUGCAGCUGACUGUUCAAGAACACACUAUGACAGAAAGAGUGAGCACAAAUUCCAGCUUAAAUUCACUCUUGGGCUUUUGCUGUCAUGAGCAGCAGCAUCACCAUUUGCUUGCUGUGCUGUGCACCAUAUCAACACAGGAGCGGGAUUGUGGAACACUCCUGAUUCACAGCAUGUCCUGCAUAAUACACAUGCAGCUGGAGUUCCACAAGAUUACAGACAAGAGCUAUCCAACAGUACUCAAAAAUCAGGACGUGCCAGAGCACUCUGGAGAACACCCUCUCUCCUUUCCUUCAUCACUCACUGACACCCAGCGCUCCAGACUCAGAGGAGAAAGAAAUACAAGUCUUUAGUCCAAACAAUAGUGAGCUUUAAAACACAGUCAACACAGCAACAUCUCUAUGUCAAAAGCUACUAUACAUUUGAUGCAAUGUUAGAUUACCUUACAUGAUAUUAAACGGGGAUUUUGUGAUCCCUUAACUAAUAUAACAAAAUUCCCAUUUAAGGCUGUGCCAGAACAAACUAUGGCUCCCUGCUACAUUUGUCACUCUUCCCAACACAAUUCAGUUCUCAAUUACUCUUCUUUAGACUCUAAACCUCUAACUAGAAACUCCCAGAUGGGCAAACAGCACAAUAGAUAAGUGGAUUUUAUAAAAUUAUUCAUUUCUUCCAUUACUUUAAUUUAAAAACUUGUUAAUAACCUGUUACUAAUCAGCACAGAAGUGCCUACACCACUAGCUAAAAAGAGAAAAACUGCAUUCCUUUGCAAGUUCAUCACUUCAUAUUACUUUUGUACCAUAUCUUUGUCUCCUGUAUUCUAAUCUGAGAAUUUCUGUCUGCCCUUUGUGACCACAGCACAUGCAAAGCAAUUUUUAACAGUUGGGGUUUUUAUUUUUGCUAGUGCUGUAAAUAUGUAUGUUCCAGGAACCUUAAACUGAAAAAGAAAGAAAAAUAAAGGUGUGUAAUUUUAUACA
This is a long non-coding RNA of Cyanistes caeruleus (blue tit), 1811 nucleotides long. The record is from Ensembl. NCBI's taxonomy places the organism in Eukaryota, Metazoa, Chordata, Aves, Passeriformes, Paridae.